UACAGAGGGUGCGAGCGUUGUUCGGAAUUAUUGGGCGUAAAGAGCUCGUAGGCGGCUUGUCGCGUCGGAUGUGAAAGCCCGGGGCUUAACUCCGGGUCUGCAUUCGAUACGGGCAGGCUAGAGUUCGGUAGGGGAGAUCGGAAUUCCUGGUGUAGCGGUGAAAUGCGCAGAUAUCAGGAGGAACACCGGUGGCGAAGGCGGAUCUCUGGGCCGAUACUGACGCUGAGGAGCGAAAGCGUGGGGAGCGAACAGG
RNAcentral lists this ribosomal RNA (253 nucleotides) under uncultured bacterium. Its description in RNAcentral is "partial 16S ribosomal RNA". It matches the Rfam family "Bacterial small subunit ribosomal RNA", at positions 524 to 776 of the family's 1533-position model. The record is from RNAcentral.